Molecule: long non-coding RNA, 1993 nt
Organism: Xiphophorus couchianus (Monterrey platyfish)
Lineage: Eukaryota; Metazoa; Chordata; Actinopteri; Cyprinodontiformes; Poeciliidae
Exons: 2
Source: RefSeq, a predicted model, not a curated record
UCUGAGGGGUGUAAAUGGGAAAAGUUGAGCAGGUUGUGUUGUGCUCACGAAGAACGGCGACGAUGUGUGAUGGUGUUUCCCUUAUAGCAAGCCUCGUCGUCCUGAUUGAAGUGCAGAGGAAAAUACAAAGCUGACAUUCUGCAACCAGUGGCAAUCCCAUAUCUUAGAUUUGCCCUUGGAGAUGUCAGCGCCCCCCACAGAGUGGGUCUUUCUCAGAGACGCCCUCAGCGUGUGGGAACGGAGAAAAUAAAUGGCUGCCUGCGGCUCAGUUGUGAAGAUAUUGUUUAAGCUAGAGGGCAGAGCCGGCCCAAGGCAUGUGAGAGUUAAACGGUUGUUUAGGGAGAGAGCACCGGACGGAUGCAAGAGUCAAGGCUUUAGCACUAAAGUGAUAAUCUAUGUUUGGUGAUGCAGUUCCGGAUCAUCACCCGGUUGUGGGUUACAGUCAUUCUUUCAUUUACUAUUUUUUAUAACGCGGGAGGUUGCCCUCUCCUGUUUGACAAGCUUAAUGAGCUGGAAAGAAAUGUUUACAAAAUUAAUUAAUUGGGGUGCAGCUGAUUGUUUUUAAUGUUAUUUAGCAGUCAGAUCGCCCCUUGGCAUUUUGACGCCCUGGGGAAGUGCCUUAAACUUGUUCUUACUUAAAUAAUUAGUUGAAAUCUAAAUAAUGAUGCCCAUAAAACGCUUUCUAAUUACCAUUUCUGCAGUUAUGUUCUGAGCUUAACAACUUGGUUUGUCCCCCUCAGUGGCUCUGCCUGGGAUCUGCUUUGAGAAGCUCUGCAACAGAACAAUGAGUGGAAGCCUCUGUGGUUCGGUGAGAGCAGUCCCGAACCGAGACGAAGGAUGGAUUAAAAGGGACUGGAAGUAUUGGGGAUUUUCCUCUGGAGACUUUCUGACAGCUGGUUGUCGAUGCAGUCAGAUUCUCCAGGAGAAGAUGAAAGAGAAGUUGGAUUGGGGUAAGAAGGUACAGAGUUUAAACCUCCAUCAGCCCCGGCAGGCUGGAGCUGCCUCAGCAGGGCAGCAGAGAAACCUGCCAGGUCACUGCAGGCUCUUCACUGGCCGGCGGGGCUCCGCGGUGUUUCCCUGCCUGUAUCUGUUUACAGAAUCUCGCCCUGACCGCUUUCGGAGCCAGCUUCCACACACCAGGAAGCAGGAGAGUGGCGCAGUGCUGCGACACAGCUGCCCGCCUGCCUGCACUCGGAGCGCCUCCUGCUGGUGCAGAUAAGAGCCCAACUGAGGUCAGCCCCCGCCUCCCACAAGAAAAAAAAGAAGAAAGGGAGCAAAGACGGUUGUUUGAUGAUUUUAUUUAUAGGUACAACAUUAACACUGUAAGUGGAGCCUCUCGUGACUUGCAGACUACAUUGUUAAUGAAACGGUAAGACGAUUUUCUGUUCCCUGCUGCAGUUCUCUUCAUCCCCUCUUCCCCUCCCUGCUGAUCCCGCCCGCCUCAUCACUUUUCCUGCAGACGCCCCGAAAUCGGGCCGAGCUCCGCAGACGUACGGCAAGCGCCUUCACACCAUUUGCACACACCAGCCUUUACCGCGUGAAACAAAAGUGCUAUAAAUUUAUGCUACAGUGCUGUGCUAAACCAAGACCUACGAGUGUUCUUCCUAAAAGUAUUUUCACAGAAACAAAAACGUCUCCACAGCUGACCGUGGAGGAAACAGAACUUUCCUUUGAGUUACCCAUCCGCUCCCACAGGCUCUUGAGUCAGCUAAUUACAAUUAUUUAAAUGACAGUCAGAUUAUUCUUAUUAUCUUACAUUACUGUGUCAAACUGCUGUUAUUGUGAGCAGUUAAAUAAACUCUGAUGCUACAGUUCAAAGUGUAAACAGUGACCUCAUACAGCACAAUCAUAUACAGAUGCAUCCUACUGUGUCUACGUUUUACAGUCAGUUACUAGAAAGUAGAAAAACGUGUUUAUGCUUCGACGAGGACGAUGAGGACAAUUCAGAGAUGUGGGGAUUCGCAAACAUCGACCAGCGUCUUAAAUAAGACCA